AACGAACGCUGGCGGCAUGCCUAACACAUGCAAGUCGAACGAGACCUUCGGGUCUAGUGGCGCACGGGUGCGUAACGCGUGGGAAUCUACCCUUGGGUUCGGAAUAACUCAGAGAAAUUUGAGCUAAUACCGGAUGAUGACGUAAGUCCAAAGAUUUAUCGCCCAAGGAUGAGCCCGCGUAGGAUUAGCUAGUUGGUGAGGUAAAGGCUCACCAAGGCGACGAUCCUUAGCUGGUCUGAGAGGAUGAUCAGCCACACUGGGACUGAGACACGGCCCAGACUCCUACGGGAGGCAGCAGUGGGGAAUAUUGGACAAUGGGCGAAAGCCUGAUCCAGCAAUGCCGCGUGAGUGAUGAAGGCCUUAGGGUUGUAAAGCUCUUUUACCCGGGAUGAUAAUGACAGUACCGGGAGAAUAAGCCCCGGCUAACUCCGUGCCAGCAGCCGCGGUAAUACGGAGGGGGCUAGCGUUGUUCGGAAUUACUGGGCGUAAAGCGCACGUAGGCGGCUUUGUAAGUUAGAGGUGAAAGCCUGGAGCUCAACUCCAGAACUGCCUUUAAGACUGCAUCGCUUGAAUCCAGGAGAGGUGAGUGGAAUUCCGAGUGUAGAGGUGAAAUUCGUAGAUAUUCGGAAGAACACCAGUGGCGAAGGCGGCUCACUGGACUGGUAUUGACGCUGAGGUGCGAAAGCGUGGGGAGCAAACAGG
This 702-nucleotide ribosomal RNA is filed under the name uncultured Alphaproteobacteria bacterium. RNAcentral's name for it is "bacterial SSU rRNA". It matches the Rfam family "Bacterial small subunit ribosomal RNA", at positions 28 to 776 of the family's 1533-position model. The record is from RNAcentral. Lineage: Bacteria; Pseudomonadati; Pseudomonadota; Alphaproteobacteria.